AUGGGGAUCUCGGAAAGUGGCGGACGGGUGAGUAACGCGUGAGAACCUGCCUUUAGGUUCGGGACAACAGUUGGAAACGGCUGCUAAUACCGAAUGUGUCGCAAGAUGAAAGAUUAAUUGCCUAAAGAUGAGCUCGCGUCUGAUUAGCUAGUUGGUGGGGUAAGAGCCUACCAAGGCGACGAUCAGUAGCUGGUCUGAGAGGAUGAUCAGCCACACUGGGACUGAGACACGGCCCAGACUCCUACGGGAGGCAGCAGUGGGGAAUUUUCCGCAAUGGGCGAAAGCCUGACGGAGCAACGCCGCGUGAGGGAGGAAGGCUCUUGGGUUGUAAACCUCUUUUAUCAAGGAAGAUAAUGACGGUACUUGAUGAAUCAGCAUCGGCUAACUCCGUGCCAGCAGCCGCGGUAAUACGGAGGAUGCAAGCGUUAUCCGGAAUAAUUGGGCGUAAAGCGUUCGUAGGUGGUGAUGUAAGUCUGCUGUUAAAGCGUGUAGCUUAACUACAUAUAGGCAGUGGAAACUACAUGACUAGAGUGCGUUCGGGGCAGAGGGAAUUCCUGGUGUAGCGGUGAAAUGCGUAGACAUCAGGAAGAACACCGGUGGCGAAGGCGCUCUGCUAGGCCGUAACUGACACUGAGGGACGAAAGCUAGGG
This 650-nucleotide ribosomal RNA is filed under the name uncultured bacterium. RNAcentral describes it as "bacterial SSU rRNA". It matches the Rfam family "Bacterial small subunit ribosomal RNA", at positions 79 to 765 of the family's 1533-position model. The record is from RNAcentral.